UACGAAGGGGGCUAGCGUUGUUCGGAAUUACUGGGCGUAAAGCGCAUGCAGGCGGAUCGCUAAGUCGGUGGUGAAAGCCCGAGGCUCAACCUCAGAACUGCCUCCGAUACUGGCGACCUCGAGUGCGUGAGAGGUGAGUGGAACUCCGAGUGUAGAGGUGAAAUUCGUAGAUAUUCGGAAGAACACCAGUGGCGAAGGCGGCUCACUGGCCCGGUACUGACGCUGAGAUGCGAAAGCGUGGGUAGCAAACAGG
RNAcentral lists this unclassified non-coding RNA (253 nucleotides) under uncultured Alphaproteobacteria bacterium. RNAcentral's name for it is "contains 16S-23S intergenic spacer region". It matches the Rfam family "Bacterial small subunit ribosomal RNA", at positions 524 to 776 of the family's 1533-position model. The record is from RNAcentral. Lineage: Bacteria; Pseudomonadati; Pseudomonadota; Alphaproteobacteria.